AACGACUAGCUCAUUGGUAGAGCAUUAGAUGGUCAAUCUAAGGGUAGUGGGUUCAACUCCCACGUCGUUUCCA
This 73-nucleotide transfer RNA is filed under the name Hyphomicrobiaceae bacterium. RNAcentral describes it as "tRNA-Asp". It matches the Rfam family "tRNA". Rfam says of the family: Transfer RNA (tRNA) molecules are approximately 80 nucleotides in length. Their secondary structure includes four short double-helical elements and three loops (D, anti-codon, and T loops). Lineage: Bacteria; Pseudomonadati; Pseudomonadota; Alphaproteobacteria; Hyphomicrobiales; Hyphomicrobiaceae. The record is from RNAcentral.